UUCAGUGGCAUGAAGUACAUUCAGACUUAUUAAAUCCAUACAUAGAGAAGAUUGAGAGAGGGCAAGGAAGGAUGAGGACUUGCAACAAGCAAACAGCAUUGUAUGCCAUGAGCGGUAUACAUUUUGAAAAGGUAGAGCCAGUUGCAAUUAGGAUUGGUUGUGAGAUGUGAGACAAAGAGGAAUCAGGAUGAAUCCAGUGUUUUCAGCCUAAGCCACAGAAAGAAUAGAGAUGUCCUUUUCCAAUGAGGAAAAUGAUGAAGACUAUGGGAGGAGCAGGCUUGGCAGAAAUAA
Molecule: long non-coding RNA, 291 nt
Organism: Herpailurus yagouaroundi (jaguarundi)
Lineage: Eukaryota; Metazoa; Chordata; Mammalia; Carnivora; Felidae
Exons: 2
Source: RefSeq, a predicted model, not a curated record